CCGCACUUCUCUCGACCUCUAGUAGCCAUGGAGUCCUUGUAUUGUUGUUUUCUCUCUAAAGCUUGAAGACUUACAGCUUCCUCCAUGAAAGACGGUCACUAAAGCUUCACUUGGGUCUCUUUCCGGCUUUUUGCCAAUGGUUUUUGUCCGAUGAUGCCUUCUAUGGCAUUAUAUGCGACUUUCACGGCCAGGAUUCUCAUUUUUCUAAUUUAUUUUGCAAACCCUAAUUUUUCAGCUGAAUCUCUUUGGUCUCUGUCUUUUAAACGAUUUCAUUUGGUUUAAACUUUGUCUUCUUCACUUCCUAUUACCUGAUCUUUGAUUAUUCGAGUUUUAAACGUUUUGGUUCCUUUUCUGAAACUAGGGUUUCUUACCCCUUUCGAAAACACUUUACUUUUCUGAUUUUGAGUACAAAUCUGUAACCCUCAGUACUACUUCUAAACAUUUUGUUAAAAUCUGAUGAAAAUCCUAACCCUACAUGUUUGUAUCUGUAUUUGCUUGUUUGCAUGAUCCUUCUGGGUUCUUCUUUGAGUUUCGUGUUCUUUGUUUUAAUUUUGUUGCUAGUAGUUCAUUUUCCUUACCAUGUUGUGUUCUUCUCUUAAGGUUUCUGGCUGUUUAUAUGGUGAUUUUAUACUGAUGCUUAAAAUCUCUCUUCAAGACCAUGAUUACUGGCCUUAAAUUGUGAUUUUGUGUAUUCUCCUUAUAGUUUGGUAUUAAUUUCGAAUUUCUUCAUCAAUCAGUGGGAUACAUUCCUCAAUUAAUAACCGAUCUCCUAGGUUUUCAAUCUCGCUCAUUAAUUCAAAAUUUAUUUUCCAGAAUUAAAGUGGCAUUUUUUCUUAUAUAUCUGCACAAGUAUAUUCAUUUAUUUGCUUGACAUGUUUCCCUGGUUAAGUAUCAUGCACCUAGUCUUCAUUGUAUACCAUAUACUAUUUUUGUUUUCUUAUGUGACCGUGCCAUACUUUGUGAUUCCUUUCCUUUUAAAAUGACUACUUAUUACCGUU
Molecule: long non-coding RNA, 998 nt
Filed under: Nicotiana benthamiana
Lineage: Eukaryota; Viridiplantae; Streptophyta; Magnoliopsida; Solanales; Solanaceae
Description: long non-coding RNA (NBEN_LNC008004)
Source: RNAcentral